AACGAACGCUGGCGGCGUGGAUAAGACAUGCAAGUCGAACGGGAACUUCAGCUGUAGCAAUACAGUUGAAGUUUUAGUGGCGAACGGGUGCGUAACACGUGGGCAAUCUGCCGAGAAGUGGGGGAUAGCUCGCCGAAAGGCGAAUUAAUACCGCAUAUGAUCAGCUAAGACAUCUUAGCGACAUCAAAGCCGGGGCAACCUGGCGCUUUUUGAGGAGCCCGCGGCCUAUCAGCUAGUUGGUGAGGUAACGGCUCACCAAGGCUAUGACGGGUAGCUGGUCUGAGAGGACGACCAGUCACACCGGAACUGAGACACGGUCCAGACACCUACGGGUGGCAGCAGUCGAGAAUUUUUCUCAAUGGGGCAACCCUGAAGGAGCGACGCCGCGUGGAGGAUG
RNAcentral lists this ribosomal RNA (397 nucleotides) under uncultured bacterium. RNAcentral describes it as "bacterial SSU rRNA". It matches the Rfam family "Bacterial small subunit ribosomal RNA", at positions 29 to 410 of the family's 1533-position model. The record is from RNAcentral.